This 126-nucleotide non-coding RNA is filed under the name Meriones unguiculatus (Mongolian gerbil). The record is from RNAcentral. Lineage: Eukaryota; Metazoa; Chordata; Mammalia; Rodentia; Muridae.
GUGUUAUAUGAAAUAAGAGAAGGUUAGCACCCUCCUUGACAAGGAUGGACAAGGCCCUCGGGCCUAACAAUACGUAUGCAGUUAAGGCAUUGCCGCCUACCUUGUAGCAUCUAAGCACUCUUUUUA